RNAcentral lists this ribosomal RNA (497 nucleotides) under uncultured bacterium. RNAcentral's name for it is "partial 16S ribosomal RNA". It matches the Rfam family "Bacterial small subunit ribosomal RNA", at positions 28 to 507 of the family's 1533-position model. The record is from RNAcentral.
GAUGAACGCUGGCGGCGUGCCUAAUACAUGCAAGUAGAACGCUGAAGGAAGGAGCUUGCUCUUUCCGGAUGAGUUGCGAACGGGUGAGUAACGCGUAGGUAACCUGCCUGGUAGCGGGGGAUAACUAUUGGAAACGAUAGCUAAUACCGCAUAACAGUAGAUGUUGCAUGAUAUCUACUUAAAAGGUGCAAUUGCACCACUACCAGAUGGACCUGCGUUGUAUUAGCUAGUUGGUGAGGUAACGGCUCACCAAGGCGACGAUACAUAGCCGACCUGAGAGGGUGAUCGGCCACACUGGGACUGAGACACGGCCCAGACUCCUACGGGAGGCAGCAGUAGGGAAUCUUCGGCAAUGGACGGAAGUCUGACCGAGCAACGCCGCGGGAGUGAAGAAGGUUUUCGGAUCGUAAAGCUCGGUUGUAAGAGAAGAACGAGUGUGAGAGUGGAAAGUUCACACUGUGACGGUAGCUUACCAGAAAGGGACGGCUAACUACGUG